This 254-nucleotide long non-coding RNA is filed under the name Lathyrus oleraceus (garden pea). RNAcentral describes it as "Pisum sativum (pea) long non-coding RNA (PSAT_LNC037587)". The record is from RNAcentral. Lineage: Eukaryota; Viridiplantae; Streptophyta; Magnoliopsida; Fabales; Fabaceae.
UAAUUCAGUACGACAACAACAGUAACAGUGUCAGCAAUAAAUCAAUAUCGCCGUUGGUAAUACGGUUAAUGGGUCCAGUCCCGUAUUCAUCUGAUAAAGCUGUACCGUAUCAGUAUAAUGCUACAAUGAUAGAAGGUGGUCAAGAGGUCCCGUUACCUACGACUAGUUCAGUGGUAAGCAUUGCUGAUGUUACCAAGGUGACCCGCAGUGGUCGAGUGUUUGGGUCGGUGUUCCCAAAAGAUAAGGAGGAAUUA